GUGGGGAAUAUUGCGCAAUGGGGGCAACCCUGACGCAGCAAUACCGCGUGAGUGAAGAAGGUUUUCGGAUCGUAAAGUUCUGUUAUUGGGGAAGAAAAAAGACGGUACCCAAGAAGAAAGUCCCGGCUAACUACGUGCCAGCAGCCGCGGUAAUACGUAGGGGACAAGCGUUGUCCGGAUUUACUGGGCGUAAAGGGCACGCAGGCGGGUUUUUAAGUCAGAUGUGAAAGGUACCGGCUCAACCGGUGACAUGCAUUUGAAACUGAAAGACUUGAGUAUUGGAGAGGCAAGUGGAAUUCCUAGUGUAGCGGUGAAAUGCGUAGAUAUUAGGAGGAACACCGGUGGCGAAGGCGGCUUGCUGGACAAAUACUGACGCUGAGGUGCGAAAGCGUGGGGAGCAAACAGGAUUAGAUACCCUAGUAGUCC
This 426-nucleotide ribosomal RNA is filed under the name uncultured bacterium. RNAcentral's name for it is "partial 16S ribosomal RNA". It matches the Rfam family "Bacterial small subunit ribosomal RNA", at positions 354 to 796 of the family's 1533-position model. The record is from RNAcentral.